AGCGCGGGUAGUUCAGUGGUAGAACACCACCUUGCCAAGGUGGGGGUCGCGGGUUCGAAUCCCGUCGUUCGCUU
RNAcentral lists this transfer RNA (74 nucleotides) under Streptococcus cristatus. RNAcentral describes it as "tRNA-Gly". It matches the Rfam family "tRNA". Rfam says of the family: Transfer RNA (tRNA) molecules are approximately 80 nucleotides in length. The record is from RNAcentral. Lineage: Bacteria; Bacillati; Bacillota; Bacilli; Lactobacillales; Streptococcaceae.